RNAcentral lists this ribosomal RNA (513 nucleotides) under uncultured bacterium. RNAcentral describes it as "partial 16S ribosomal RNA". It matches the Rfam family "Bacterial small subunit ribosomal RNA", at positions 28 to 507 of the family's 1533-position model. The record is from RNAcentral.
GACGAACGCUGGCGGCGCGCUUAAUACAUGCAAGUCGAACGAAAAGAGCGAAAGAGCUUGCUCUUUCCGGAAUUGAGUGGCAAACGGGUGGGUAACAAGUAAACAACCAGCUUCCAGGAAGUGGGCAACAGGCGGAAAAGACUGCUAAUAAUGAACAAGAUCCAAGAGCCGCAUUGCCCAUGGUAGAAAACGAGGCCUCUGCCUGUAAGCUAGCGCCUGCGGAGGGGUUUGCGUCUGAUUAGCUGGUGGGCGGUGUAAGGGGCCACCGAGGCGAAGACCAGUAGCCGGUCGGCGGGGAUGAAGGGCGAACCGGGAACUGGGACACGGGCCACACUCCAACGGGAGGCAGCAGUGGGGAGUCUGCCGUAAUGGGCGAAAGCCUGACGGAGCAAGGAGGCGUGAGUGAUGACGGCCUUCGGGUUGUAGAUCGCUGUGUUCCGGGGAGAAAGGGGAAGGUGCGAGGUUCGAAGUGUAUUGACGGUACCGGAAAAGCAAGCCACGGCUAACUACGUG